RNAcentral lists this transfer RNA (68 nucleotides) under Deronectes doriae. Its description in RNAcentral is "tRNA-Phe". The record is from RNAcentral. Lineage: Eukaryota; Metazoa; Arthropoda; Insecta; Coleoptera; Dytiscidae.
AUUUAAAUAGCUUAAUUUUAGAGUAUAAUAUUGAAGAUAUUAUGGUGAUUUUAUAUAAUCUUUAGAUA